ACACGUAGGGGGCGAGCGUUGUCCGGAAUCACUGGGCGUAAAGGGCGUGUAGGCGGCUGAUAAAGUCAGGUGUGAAAUGCCUCGGCUCAACCGAGGACUAGCACAUGAAACUAAUUAGCUUGAGUGCAGGAGAGGGGAGCGGAAUUCCCGGUGUAGCGGUAAAAUGCGUAGAUAUCGGGAAGAACACCGGUGGCGAAGGCGGUUCUCUGGACUGUAACUGACGCUGAGGCGCGAAAGCUGGGGUAGCGAACGGGAUUAGAUACCCCGGUAGUCCCAGCCGUAAACUAUGGGUACUAGGUGUUGGCAGUCGACCUGUCAGUGCCGUAGCAAACGCAUUAAGUAUCCCGCCUGGGGAGUACGGCCGCAAGGCUGAA
RNAcentral lists this ribosomal RNA (374 nucleotides) under uncultured bacterium. RNAcentral's name for it is "bacterial SSU rRNA". It matches the Rfam family "Bacterial small subunit ribosomal RNA", at positions 523 to 898 of the family's 1533-position model. The record is from RNAcentral.